This 456-nucleotide ribosomal RNA is filed under the name uncultured bacterium. Its description in RNAcentral is "bacterial SSU rRNA". It matches the Rfam family "Bacterial small subunit ribosomal RNA", at positions 340 to 786 of the family's 1533-position model. The record is from RNAcentral.
UACGGAAGGCAGCAGGGGGGAAUAUUGCACAAUGGGCGCAAGCCUGAUGCAGCCAUGCCGCGUGUAUGAAAAAGGCCUUCGGGUUGUAAAGUACUUUUCAGUCGUGAGGAAGGUGUUAAGGUUAAUAACCUUAGCAAUUGACGUUAGCGACAGAAGAAGCACCGGCUAACUCCGUGCCAGCAGCCGCGGUAAUACGGAGGGUGCGAGCGUUAAUCGGAAUUACUGGGCGUAAAGGGCACGCAGGCGGUUAAUUAAGUUGGAUGUGAAAUCCCCGGGCUUAACCUGGGAAUGGCAUUCAAGACUGGUUAGCUAGAGUCUUGUAGAGGGGGUAGAAUUCCAUGUGUAGCGGUGAAAUGCGUAGAGAUGUGGAGGAAUACCGGUGGCGAAGGCGGCCCCUGGACAAAGACUGGACGCUCAUGUGCGAAAGCGUGGGGAGCAAACGAGGGAUUAGAUACC